This 166-nucleotide small RNA is filed under the name human gut metagenome. RNAcentral describes it as "Clostridiales-1 RNA". It matches the Rfam family "Clostridiales-1 RNA". The record is from RNAcentral.
GAUGCUAGGGCCAAAAGGUCUAAACCCACAUGAGCUUGCUCAUAAGUGGGUGAAGGACCUUGAGGCCCGCCCCGAUAUGAGCAUAAAAGUAGGAUGAUAAUCCCACGAUAUGCGAAUGUCGAUGAGGAUUGUGGGAGUGCGUAGCACGGAACAAUCCGCAGGCAUC